CCUACGGGAGGCAGCAGUGGGGGAUAUUGCACAAUGGGGGAAACCCUGAUGCAGCGACGCCGCGUGGGUGAAGAAGGGCCUCGGCGCGUAAAGCCCUGUCAGCAGGGAAGAAAAUGACGGUACCUGAAGAAGAAGCCCCGGCUAACUACGUGCCAGCAGCCGCGGUAAUACGUAGGGGGCAAGCGUGAUCCGGAUUUACGGGGUGUAAAGGGGGCGCAGACGGCGAUGCAAGCCAGGAGUGAAAGCCCGGGGCCCAACCCCGGGACUGCUCUUGGAACUGCGGGGCUAGAGUGCAGGAGGGGCAGGCGGAAUUCCUGGUGUAGCGGUGAAAUGCGUAGAUAUCAGGAGGAACACCGGUGGCGAAGGCGGCCUGCUGGACUGCAACUGACGUUGAGGCCCGAAAGCGUGGGGAGCAAACAGGAUUAGAUACCCCAGUAGUC
This 440-nucleotide ribosomal RNA is filed under the name uncultured bacterium. RNAcentral's name for it is "partial 16S ribosomal RNA". It matches the Rfam family "Bacterial small subunit ribosomal RNA", at positions 338 to 795 of the family's 1533-position model. The record is from RNAcentral.